UGGGCUGGGGCUCAGGGGCAGAGCACUCACCUAGUGCGUGGGAGGCCCUGGGUUUGAGCCUCAGCACCACAU
RNAcentral lists this transfer RNA (72 nucleotides) under Ictidomys tridecemlineatus (thirteen-lined ground squirrel). Its description in RNAcentral is "Spermophilus tridecemlineatus (thirteen-lined ground squirrel) tRNA". It matches the Rfam family "tRNA". From Rfam's summary of the family: Transfer RNA (tRNA) molecules are approximately 80 nucleotides in length. Lineage: Eukaryota; Metazoa; Chordata; Mammalia; Rodentia; Sciuridae. The record is from Rfam by way of RNAcentral.